UACGUAGGGACCAAGCGUUGUUCGGAUUUACUGGGCGUAAAGGGCGCGUAGGCGGCAAUUCAAGUCAUCUGUGAAAUCUCCGGGCUUAACUCGGAACGGUCAGAUGAUACUGCUUUGCUAGAGUACAGAAGUGGCAAUCGGAAUUCUUGGUGUAGCGGUGAAAUGCGUAGAUAUCAAGAGGAACACCUGAGGUGAAGACGGGUUGCUGGGCUGAUACUGACGCUGAGGCGCGAAAGCUAGGGUAGCAAACGGG
RNAcentral lists this ribosomal RNA (253 nucleotides) under uncultured bacterium. Its description in RNAcentral is "partial 16S ribosomal RNA". It matches the Rfam family "Bacterial small subunit ribosomal RNA", at positions 524 to 776 of the family's 1533-position model. The record is from RNAcentral.